GGGCUGCAGUGGGGAAUUUUGGACAAUGGGGGAAACCCUGAUCCAGCCAUCCCGCGUGAGUGAAGAAGGCCUUCGGGUUGUAAAGCUCUUUCGGAAGUGAAGAAAACUUAUUUCGUAAUAUGUUAUAAGAAUGACGGUAACUUUAGAAGAAGCACCGGCUAACUACGUGCCAGCAGCCGCGGUAAUACGUAGGGUGCGAGCGUUAAUCGGAAUUACUGGGCGUAAAGCGUGCGCAGGCGGUUUUGUAAGUCAGAUGUGAAAUCCCCGAGCUUAACUUGGGAACUGCGUUUGAAACUACAAGACUAGAGUGUGUCAGAGGGGGGUAGAAUUCCACGUGUAGCAGUGAAAUGCGUAGAGAUGUGGAGGAAUAUCAAUGGCGAAGGCAGCCCCCUGGGAUAACACUGACGCUCAUGCACGAAAGCGUGGGGAGCGAACAGGAUUAGAUACCCCGGUAGUC
RNAcentral lists this ribosomal RNA (457 nucleotides) under uncultured OM43 clade bacterium. Its description in RNAcentral is "bacterial SSU rRNA". It matches the Rfam family "Bacterial small subunit ribosomal RNA", at positions 346 to 795 of the family's 1533-position model. Lineage: Bacteria; Pseudomonadati; Pseudomonadota; Betaproteobacteria; Nitrosomonadales. The record is from RNAcentral.